Molecule: long non-coding RNA, 1013 nt
Organism: Cornus florida
Lineage: Eukaryota; Viridiplantae; Streptophyta; Magnoliopsida; Cornales; Cornaceae
Exons: 3
Source: RefSeq, a predicted model, not a curated record
CUUUGAUUCAAUUAUUUUAAGGGAAAAAAAAAACAAAGAGAAACCAAAGUAAGGAAAAAAUCUGAAUUUUAGCUUUUAUUUUAGCCAAAUAUGUUCAAAUAAUGUUCUAGGUUUAGAAAUAGUGUUCUGACCUGAAUUUAAAAAAUAAAAGAAAACAAAAAUAGGCCCACAAAAAGUGAGGCCAAAUGCCAACCCACCCUUGCUUUCUAACUACCUCCAUCAAGAGUCAUUCUUUGGGGCUACUUUUCUCAUGGUCCAUUGGAGCAUCCAAUCUUCAAAAAUUGGCCCAGUUUCGCCAAAAAGAGCACUGAUGGAGUUGCUCAAGUCUUGUUCUUACUUUCAUCCUUGGUUUUGGGCAUCCCUUAGGACGUGGAUACAGAUGGCUUGAAGGAUUACAUGAGCAAAAUUGGGGAAAUUGAGGAAUAUAUUGUGACGAAGCUUCAACGGCGAGCUCCGUGCAACGGCAACCUACCUCGAUAGCAACCGAACUGACAGUGAGCUCCAGGGUGUGAAUGCAACUCUGGCGAACACACAGUAAUCUCCAAUAUGCUGCUUGCAACUCCGGCGAACACACACGCGUCACGCACACAAAAGAGUCCAAAGCUCUCUCUCUCUCUAAGGUGAUAUAUUGUGUUUUAAGCUAGGUCAUUGAAUUGCACUCCAUUUGGUUGAUUUUUGGAGCUACCUCUAUGUGUAUUUUUUUUUUUUUGAUAUAUCUCUCUUUUCUUACACACUUCUUAGAAAGUGAGGGAGAAGGUUUUUGUUUUUGUUUUUUUUGUUUUUUUUUUUUUUUUUCACGCGUAAAGACCUAACCGAAGCUACUUACCCAGAUGUAAGGAUUAUUUGGUCAGAAAAAAUUGUCUCACAAGAUUAUUAAACGGAGGUAAGUUAAAUCACCCCCUCCUCAUAGUUGAGGGAGUUUCUUGUCAAAAACAUUUAAAGGGAAUUUCUUGCAAAUGGGUAAUAAUUGGGGUGGGUUUUUUUUUUUGGCACUUCGUCCUUAAUUAUAUAAA